RNAcentral lists this ribosomal RNA (500 nucleotides) under uncultured bacterium. Its description in RNAcentral is "partial 16S ribosomal RNA". It matches the Rfam family "Bacterial small subunit ribosomal RNA", at positions 30 to 523 of the family's 1533-position model. The record is from RNAcentral.
AUUGAACGCUGGCGGAAUGCUUUACACAUGCAAGUCGAACGGCAGCACGGACUUCGGUCUGGUGGCGAGUGGCGAACGGGUGAGUAAUACAUCGGAACGUACCCAGAAGUGGGGGAUAACGUAGCGAAAGUUACGCUAAUACCGCAUAUUCUGUGAGCAGGAAAGUGGGGGAUCGCAAGACCUCACGCUUUUGGAGCGGCCGAUGUCGGAUUAGCUAGUUGGUGAGGUAAAGGCUCACCAAGGCGACGAUACGUAGCGGGUCUGAGAGGAUGAUCCGCCACACUGGGACUGAGACACGGCCCAGACUCCUACGGGAGGCAGCAGUGGGGAAUAUUGGACAAUGGGGGAAACCCUGAUCCAGCAAUGCCGCGUGUGUGAAGAAGGCCUGCGGGUUGUAAAGCACUUUCGGAGGGGACAAAAAGCGUCGGGCUAACACCCAGGCGUCUUGAUUUAACCCUCAUAAGAAGCACCGGCUAACUCUGUGCCAGCCGCCGCGGUAA